GACAGAGGUGCCGAGCGUUAGGCGGAAUCACUGGGCUUAAAGCGUGUGUAGGCGGACUUCUAAGUACCUUGUGAAAUCCCCCGGCUCAACCGGGGAACUGCUGGGUAUACUGGUCGUCUUGAGCCAUCUAGGGGCUACCGGAACAAAUGGUGGAGCGGUGAAAUGCGUAGAUAUCAUUUGGAACGCCAAUGGUGAAAACAGGUAGCUGGGGAUGUGCUGACGCUGAGACACGAAAGCCAGGGGAG
This 245-nucleotide ribosomal RNA is filed under the name uncultured bacterium. RNAcentral's name for it is "partial 16S ribosomal RNA". It matches the Rfam family "Bacterial small subunit ribosomal RNA", at positions 524 to 768 of the family's 1533-position model. The record is from RNAcentral.